CAGCGCGCGGCGGCGGAAGGAUUCCACUGGCGCCGAUGGAACUCUGGCCGUGCGCGCCGCGGGGCUCCCCCGGCGGGCGGCAGGGGUGGGGGGGGGGGACUACUUUCUGGCGGCGCAGGGAUCCCGCGAAGGAGGAGGCGUGAUACGGUUAUUAGCCCAGGCCUCCGGUCGCCAUUACGGCAGUGAAGCUGCGAGGGAGAGGUGGCGGCGCGGUGUGAGCCGCUGGGCGGGCGUGGGCAGCGCUGGGGGCCGCCCUCAGCUUCAGUGCAUCCAGCCGGGUCACGUCGGGCUGAGGGGAGGCGGGCAGCAGGCAGGGAUGCCGUGCUGCGUCAGCUCCAGGUGGAUGGCGGUGGGAUGCGCUGCCUUCUGUCUUCGUACUGUGCGUUUGUUUAUGUAUGUAUGUAUGUAUGUAUGUUUUCAGUGCUGUCUGAGUAUACGGCAUCAGCUUUGUGUCAGAACCGCGCAGGUCUUAAGGAUAAACUGCUGAGAAUACCUACAGCGAGAGCCCUGCUCGCAGACGUGGCAGCAGGCACGUCGAAGCUGGGAAUGUGUCAGCAGCCCCCUUUGGUUUCUGCACAAAUACACGUCGCCGUGGCCGUCUGCUAAAUAUAACUAAAGACUGUAGUAUGGAGAAGUAGGAAGCCCCUUUGGAAUUGUCAGCGUGAAAACUAUAGAAGAAAGCAGAAACUCAAAGAUGAGAAGAAGCCUUAUUCCUCAGUAUGCUGUAUCUGUUCUUGGAAGAACUGUGGAGAAUGUGGAAGAACCAAUUACUGCUGAGGAAAAACUAAUGGCAGAAAAGACUGUCCUGUACAUUUAAGGACUGAAUUUUGCCAUUCAAGACAUUGUCUUAUUUCUUCAUGACAGUUUCCUUGUGGUUGGUUUGUGAUCUCACUCUAUGUGUCUAAUGUCCUUUAUCCCAGAAAUUUCUGAAUUGUUUGCAUAUUCUACCCAAAAUUAACAAAUCUACUGUUCUGUGAUUUCUUUGUUAGAGUUGGAAGGUACCCUUGAAGGCCAUCCUGUCCAACUGCCCCGCACUGAGCAGGGACACCUACAACUCAAUCAGAUGCUCAGAGCCCCCCCAGCCUUACCUCGUACAUCUCCAGGGAUGGGGCAUCCUCCACCUCUGUGGGCAACCUGUGCCAGUGCCUCACCUGCUCACUGUAAAAAAUCUUCUACCCUAUAUCCAAUCUAAAUCUCCUCUCUUUAUGUUUGAAACCACUUCCCCUUGUCCUGUCACAGCAGGCCCUGCUGAAGAGUCUGUCUCCUUCUUUCUUACAGCCCUCCUUUACAUACUGAAAGGCUGCUAUCAGGUCUCCCUAGAGCCUUCUCUUCUCCAGGCUGAAUAGCCCCAGCUCUCUCUGCCUGUUCUUGUAGGAGUGGUCUUCCAUCCCUUGGAUCAGUUCUGUGGCUCUCCUCUGGACGAAGUGGUGGUUUCGCAGACAGUGAAGCUCCGACCCACUUUGUGAAUAUGGCUGAUACCUGCAAGUGCCUCAGCAAUUGAGCAAAAAGUUGCCAUGUCAUCUCCUACUUUAACAUGCACAGAAGAGCUACUGUAAGGGAAAGCACUCGCAAGUACCAGAACCACAGGGAAACCUUCAACCAGGAUCUGCAAUUUUUAAAUCAAUUAAAAAAACUUGCAGGAAGCUGGUCAACUUUAAUUCUGGUCCUUCCAGAACUGGCUGUUGUUUUUCUUUUUUACUUGCAAAGGAUGUGAGAUAUAGGCAUGUGUAUGGAUAUUGCCAUACAUUGUAUGUCCAUCAGUUCUCUUGACUCAAAAAGCCACUGAAUGUGAGUUUGUACAGAUUUCAGGUAGAGAGACUCAUCAGCAAACAUUCUGAAGGGAACCUGAAAGAAGAAAGGUUGGAAGGGGGCUUGUCUUAAGAGUUUGCUUUAAUUGGCAAGUGUUAAAGCUACAUUCUGUGAGGAGAACAUAGAUUCCCCAAAUAGCCACUUCAUAGUUAGCAAAUGUAGUGAGGUGUUUUUUUCCCCGCAUAAGGAGUGGUUAAGACUAUUAUUUGUCCUGUAUAUCCUUAUUCUUUCUAAGCACAGGCCACAGAAGACAGCAGAGCGAAUGAGCCAAAGCCUUCAGAAAAUACAGCUUCAGCCUCUUUUUUUCCCCUCUCUGAAACCAGAACUAUUAACAGUUUUAAAUACUAAUGUUUCUACUGUCUGGAGAUUAUUUUUUAUGAGUAUUUUGAACCUUGGAGGUGAAACAUUUCUUCCUGCAUCCAAAACUAUAGUUUGACUGCACUGCUGGAGUGCAGAGUCAAUUGCGGCAGAGAGGAAAGGGAACUGAGGAAUGGAGAAAGGUUACAGAAGAGGAAGGUGUAGUUGCUUCCACCUUUUAACAGUGUUGCUAGAAGGCAUUAGCAGAAGUGGAAGAUCAAGGGGAAAUUGUUCCUGUCCAUGAAUUAAUUGAUCUUCUAAUCCAUGCAGCUUCUGAGGCUGUUCCACAGCGGGUUGAAGCCUCCUGUAGCCCUCUUUGUUAGAGUAGGUUGUGAGAAUGUGUUGUGCUCUAUCAUCAGCCUUGUGGGCUGCAAGCUGCUGCGAUUUGUGAAGAUAUCCUUGCACUGAGGGAUAAUGAAGACGUUAACUGCAUGGAGGUAUGUGGUGGGAAAGGAGGAUUGGAUAUUCAGAACAAAAUAAUUCUUAAACCACUGGAUGCUUUCACAUGCCUAUAUUGCUAUGUCAUAGAAUGGCCUGGGUUGAAAAGGCCCGCAAUGAUCAUCUAGUUUCAACCCCCUGCUAUAUGCAGGGUCACCAACCACCAGACCAGGCUGCCCAGAGCCACAUCCAGCCUGGCCUUGAAUGCCUCCAGGGAUGGGGCAUCCACAGCCUGUUCCAGUGCGUCACCAUCCUCUGUGUGAAAAACUUCCUCCUAAUAUCUGACCUAAACCUCCUGUCUCAGUUUAAAACCAUUCCCCCUUGUCCUAUCACUACCCACCCUCGUAAACAGCCAUUCUCCCUCCUGUUUAUAUGCUCCCUUUAAGUACUGGAAGGCUGCAAUGAGGUCUCCCUGGAGCCUUCUCUUCUCCAAGCUUAACAAGCCCCCUCAACCUUUCUUCAUAGCAGAGGUGCUCCAGCCCUCUGAUCAUCUUAGUGGCUCUCCUCUAGACUCGUUCCAAGAGUUCUGUAUCUUUAUUGUGCUGGGGGCCCCAGGCCUGGACGCAGUACUGCAGAUGGGGCCUCACAAGAGCUGAGUAGAGGGGGACAAUCACCUCCCUCUCCCUGCUGGCCACCCCUUGUGUAAUGCAGCCCAGAACACGGUUGGCCUUCUGGGAUGCAAGUGCACACUGCUGGUGCAGUGUGGUCCAGCAGUAGUUCGGCUUCCCAACCGUCUCAUCUAUGAAAUUUCUAGCAUAUGAAAAGUAUUGCAGAUCACGAUUGACAUUUUUGUCAUGUAGUCACAAUUAUGUACCUUUUGGGUUUGUUCUCUUUUUUAUUUUUUUAUUUUUUAUAUUUGGAAGAGCAUCCUGACAUUCCCCCAGCUUAGGAAUAUCACUUUAUACCGUCUAAGAUCUUUUAUAGAUCUCUUGGAGCAGGUCAAAUUAGUAUGUGUUGAUUCUUCAGAAAAUUUGUGAAUAUAUAAAUGUGUUGAAUGAAACAGAGGAAAUGGUAUCACCACAAACCCUUGCAGCAAAAUCUAUCCUGGAAACUUUUGCUUUAAUGCAGAGAUUUAUAAUUUCCUUCUGUAUGAAUGUUUCAUAGAGAAAAGUAUGCACUUUGUCUCCCUAAGUACAUUAAGAAAAGCAUGCCUGGAAUCAAGUUAAUUUCAGAUAAAUUACACUGCUUGCAGUCUGUUCUGCUGGAAAAUAUAUAGGUAUUACUUGUUAAGUAUUGUGUUUCUUUUAUAUUAAACACAACUCAGCCCGCUGGAUGGUAAGUAGGGUCUUGGAAUUGGAUAAGGUGAGACUCAUUAGUUUCUUUAGACUGAUGGUUGUUGCUCUGUUCUGUGUAAUGUUCUCAGAUUUUUCAAAGACUUUGUGCUUUAGUGAAACUGCUGGAAGAUUGUGCAAGACACGGGUUUUCUAUGGCUCUGGAAAGUAAAGCCAUCAUUCUCAAAUGGGACACUUGUUUCUGAGUUCCACUAUUAAUGCUUUUAUUAAGGCUGAAAUCAGCUAACAGAGCAAGAGUUAACUUUGUUCUAUAACUGAUCAAUGAAAUGCAACAAUAAAGCAUUUGCUAACUGACAAUGCUGCUAAUAUCUCCCAGCUGAGAUUUGGGAAUUCAGCUUUGUUUUAUUUCUGUUGUGCUGCCUUCCCGCUACAGGUUUCAUAACUGAUCUGCUCUCUGUACCUGGGCAAAGUUACUCCGGAAUUCAGUAUCCCAGCUGUCUGAAUGAGGACAGUUGGCAGUUUCUCUGUGGGAAAAUGAUAAAAAUCCUGUUGCAGUUUUGAGUGGUCUAAUAACCUCAGCAAUUGUAGAUAUUGUGUUUGAAUACCUGCCAGCCGCUGGCCAAGUCAUGCUCUCUUGAAACCUUUGCUGAAACUGGAGACUUGUGCUGUGUGGAAGGAUGGUGGUGGCUGAAUGAAGCCGGGACUGUUUGGACCUGGUACUCAGUUACAAGCAGUAUUUUGAAACCACAUACUGCACUAUGGGAUGGCUUAUCUAAGAACUAGUGUAAUGUAGGUUAGUAUUAUGUCCAUCUUGUCAUUUUUCUUAAUCCUGACAGCUACUAAAAACAAAGGCUGCAGAGGAAUUAAUUUUGGAGCUGAUGCUAUAAUCUACAUUCCUUCUUGGCAAGAAGCCUGUUUUUGGUCUUCUAAAGAUUUACGAAAGCUCUGAAACAUAAAGCUUGAUGUCUUUUGAAUGAAAUGGUAAUUACAUUUUCAAAUCCUUUAGGUACACUGUGACUGUGUCUGUUCCAGCUUUGUGUAUUUGUAGAUUCUUCUUUUCAGUGACUUGUUAUAGUGAGUUCCACUGACAAUGUGUGCUGACUUUUAAUUUUAAUAGAAAAAUUCACAGAUUAAAAAAUAUCCUCUUUUUAUUGACAGGUAUUCCUGCUUAGUGUUUGAGACUCAAUAUUUCUGUGCAGGUAAUCUAGAUAUCUGUUAAGCAGUCCCUUCUACAGACUUCUCAGAGAUAAAUAUAUUUUAAUAUAUGCUAGAAUGAAAAGCUGUGAUCUACAUUACUGUGUUUUAUGCUUAAUCCUGAAAAAGAGAGAAUCUCCUCACCCUGCAGAUUACUGUUUAAUAAGGACUCAUAAGAAUGUAAGCAACAUAAGGAAAAACAAGGAAGAGUUAAUGAGGAAAACAUUACUAAUACAGUGUGAAGAAGCCAGGUAGCAGUUCUGCAACUGUCCUACCCAACUACCCAUCUACUUAAGAAGUGACACUACCCCUGUAUGGAGUCCUUGUAGGAGUAAUGUGGAGAGAUCUGAAAGAUCCUCGUUUACCACCUAAGACCUCAUUUGAGAAAAUGAUGCAUCGAUAUCUGAAAUAAACUGUUAGGAGUGGUGUAAUAUAACCAAUAACAGCAGCUUGUUUUGCUGUAUGUCUCGGGCCUCGGACUCUAAUAUUAAACAUGUAAUGCUAGAGCAUGUUGGCACUUCCUGCUGAAUUUUGUUCUCCACAGCUUAUCCUACCUGGCAAACAAAGAAAGCCUGGAAAAUAGUACUGACUGUGUAUGACCAAAAGAAGGGUCCUCAUGUACUAAAGUAUUAAAAGAAGUUGAUUGGUUUGGUUUUUAUUUUUUUCCCCCAUGGUUUCUGUUGACUGAUAUAUAGUAUUAUGUAGAAGACCCUGUGUUAAGGAGCUGUGCUGAAUAUUGGAUGCCAGUGUGUCUGGACCAUGUAGAUUCCAAAAUAAAACUGCUACUGAUGCACCA
Long non-coding RNA from Tympanuchus pallidicinctus (lesser prairie-chicken), 5826 nucleotides. RefSeq lists it as uncharacterized. NCBI's taxonomy places the organism in Eukaryota, Metazoa, Chordata, Aves, Galliformes, Phasianidae. The record is from RefSeq and is a predicted model, not a curated record. The transcript has 2 exons.